CAGCAGAAGGAAGGCACGAGCACAUGCCUGGGGUGAACGGGGAAGAAGAGAUGCAACUGGAAUGGCCCCUUCUGAGAGAGGAGACCCAUAGGCUUUAGAGCUGUGACGGUGACACAUCACACGCAUGUAGCUCUACCUUCUGGAAUGUGGGAGAUGGCAUACUCAGAGAGGACAGCAAGGUGAAAGACAGGAAGUCAAUAAGGUGAAGCACCAGGCUAGCCAAUCAGGAAGCUGUACCUGCCCCCCCAGACCUGAACGGGCAUGGAGCAGAAGUCACCAGCAUCCCAGAAGAGUCCUCUGACAGGAGCUAGGGUAUUUCACAAAGGCUUCGGUAACCCUGGGGAA
Long non-coding RNA from Suricata suricatta (meerkat), 345 nucleotides. RefSeq lists it as uncharacterized. The transcript is spliced from 3 exons. NCBI's taxonomy places the organism in Eukaryota, Metazoa, Chordata, Mammalia, Carnivora, Herpestidae. The record is from RefSeq and is a predicted model, not a curated record.